GCUGGGCAUGGUGGCGCAUGCCUGUAAUCCCAGCUACUCAGGAAGCUGAGGUGGGCGAAUCGCUUGAACCCAGGAGAUGGAGGUUGCAGUGAGCCGAGAUCACACCACUGCACUCCAGCCUGGGUGACAGAGCGAGACUCCAUCUCAA
RNAcentral lists this signal recognition particle RNA (148 nucleotides) under Chlorocebus sabaeus (green monkey). RNAcentral describes it as "Metazoan signal recognition particle RNA". It matches the Rfam family "Metazoan signal recognition particle RNA". Rfam says of the family: The signal recognition particle (SRP) is a universally conserved ribonucleoprotein. It is involved in the co-translational targeting of proteins to membranes. The eukaryotic SRP consists of a 300-nucleotide 7S RNA and six proteins: SRPs 72, 68, 54, 19, 14, and 9. Lineage: Eukaryota; Metazoa; Chordata; Mammalia; Primates; Cercopithecidae. The record is from Rfam by way of RNAcentral.